CUCACCAUAGCCUCCCUCUGCCCCAGCUCUGCCCACUCUAGCUAGUCUCACCCACCAACUCCAAGCUUACCUUUCCCUGGCACCUGACCUACCCACACCUUGAUCUCAAGGCUUUGACUAAUCCUUGGCCUGACUCCAAGAGCUUUGCCCCCAUGGCCCUGUCAUGACCCCCCACCCCCAGCCCACACCAUACCUCUCUCAGAUUCCGCUGUUCUCACUAGCAUCUCAAGAGCCCGAAAUCAAGAUAAGUCUUUUCCUCUCCUACUUCCCAAAGAACUUAGUCACUGCCCUCUGCAGAGUGCUUGCUACCCAAAAGAGAAGGAAGAGGCCCCACCCAACCCCUGCUUUCCCACUGAGGAGGUUCUAGAAGGCCACAUCAAAUGUCCUCUCCACUCAGGUGCAAACUGGCUCAGUCUAAUGGCUGGGGGGUGAUGGUGAGCCACCGCUCUGGGGAGACUGAGGACACAUUCAUUGCUGACCUUGUGGUGGGGCUCUGCACAGGACAGAUCAAGACUGGCGCCCCCUGCCGCUCGGAGCGUCUGGCCAAAUACAACCAACUCAUGAGGAUCGAGGAGGCUCUUGGGGACAAGGCAAUCUUUGCUGGACGCAAGUUCCGUAACCCGAAGGCCAAGUGAGAAGCUGGAGGCUCCAGGACUCCACUGGACAGACCCAGGUCUUCCAGACCUGCUUCCUGAAAUAAACACUGGUGCCAACCAA
This 717-nucleotide small RNA is filed under the name Pongo abelii (Sumatran orangutan). RNAcentral's name for it is "retained intron". Lineage: Eukaryota; Metazoa; Chordata; Mammalia; Primates; Hominidae. The record is from RNAcentral.